Molecule: ribosomal RNA, 523 nt
Filed under: uncultured cyanobacterium
Lineage: Bacteria; Bacillati; Cyanobacteriota
Description: bacterial SSU rRNA
Rfam family: Bacterial small subunit ribosomal RNA
Source: RNAcentral
AGAGUUUGAUCCUGGCUCAGGAUGAACGCUGGCGGUAUGCUUAACACAUGCAAGUCGAACGGGGUCAGAAAUGAUUCAGUGGCGGACGGGUGAGUAACGCGUGAGAAUCUGGCUUCAGGUUCGGGACAACCACUGGAAACGGUGGCUAAUACCGGAUAUGCCGAGAGGUGAAAGAUAUAUUGCCUGAAGAUGAGCUCGCGCCUGAUUAGCUAGUUGGUAGGGUAAUGGCCUGCCAAGGCGGCGAUCGGUAACUGGUCUGAGAGGAUGACCAGUCACACUGGGACUGAGACACGGCCCAGACUCCUACGGGAGGCAGCAGUGGGGAAUUUUCCGCAAUGGGCGAAAGCCUGACGGAGCAAUACCGCGUGGGGGAUGAAGGCUCUUGGGUUGUAAACCCCUUUUCUCAGGGAAGAAAAAAAUGACGGUACCUGAGGAAUAAGCAUCGGCUAACUCCGUGCCAGCAGCCGCGGUAAUACGGAGGAUGCAAGCGUUAUCCGGAAUGAUUGGGCGUAAAGCGUCUGUA